This 1246-nucleotide ribosomal RNA is filed under the name Ditylum brightwellii. Its description in RNAcentral is "partial Bacterial large subunit ribosomal RNA". It matches the Rfam family "Bacterial large subunit ribosomal RNA", at positions 715 to 1960 of the family's 2925-position model. Lineage: Eukaryota; Bacillariophyta; Thalassiosirophyceae; Lithodesmiales; Lithodesmiaceae. The record is from RNAcentral.
CCGAAACCAGAUGAUCUAUCCAUGGCCAGGUUGAAGGUUGGGUAACACCAACUGGAGGACCGAACCCACUAACGUUGAAAAGUUAGGGGAUGAGCUGUGGAUAGGGGUGAAAGGCUAAACAAAUCUGGAAAUAGCUGGUUCUCCCCGAAAACUAUUUAGGUAGUGCCUCGAGUCUCACUACAGGGGGUAGAGCACUGUUAUGGCUAGGGGGUCAUCGCGACUUACCAAACCAUGGCAAACUCCGAAUACCUGUAAGUGCAAUCUCGGGAGACAGACAUCGGGUGCUAACGUCCGGUGUCAAGAGGGAAACAACCCAGACCGCCAGCUAAGGUCCCUAAUAUCUGCUAAGUGGAAAACGAAGUGGGAAGGCUAAAACAGUCAGGAGGUUGGCUUAGAAGCAGCCACCCUUUAAAGAAAGCGUAAUAGCUCACUGAUCGAGUCGUCCUGCGCGGAAGAUGUAACGGGGCUAAGCAGAUAACCGAAGCUGCGGAUGUACACGUAAGUGUAUGUGGUAGGGGAGCGUUCUGUAAGCCUGCGAAGGUGUGUUGUAAAGCAUGCUGGAGGUAUCAGAAGUGCGAAUGCUGACAUGAGUAGCGAUAAACAGAGUGAAAGGCUCUGUCGCCGUAAGCCCAAGGUUUCCUACGCAACGUUCAUCGGCGUAGGGUUAGUCGGCCCCUAAGGCGAGGCAGAAAUGCGUAGUCGAUGGGAAGCAGGUUAAUAUUCCUGCACCGACGUGUAAUGCGAUGGGGGGACGGAUCGUGGAAAGUGGUCCAGGUGUUGGAUAUCCUGGUCCCUGCAUCAUAGAGGACAGUUAGGCAAAUCCGGCUGUCAUAUACUCAAGGGUGUGGGGGGAAGUAGCUACGGCUACGAACCCAUUGGAAGUGGUCCCAAGAAAAGCCUCUAAGCUUCAGUUACACGUUGACCGUACCGCAAACCGACACAGGUGGGCGGGAUGAGUAUUCUAAGGCGCUUGAGAGAACUCAGGAGAAGGAACUCGGCAAAUUGGUACCGUAACUUCGGGAGAAGGUACGCCCUUGUAGCUUGACCAUGAACAAUGGAAGGGUGAAGGGGUUGCAAUAAAAUGGUGGCUGCGACUGUUUAAUAAAAACACAGCUCUCUGCAAACACGAAAGUGGACGUAUAGGGAGUGACGCCUGCCCGGUGCUGGAAGAUUAAAUGAUGGGGUGCAAGCUCUUGACUGAAGUCCCAGUAAACGGCGGCCGUAACUAUAACGGUCCUAAGGUAGC